RNAcentral lists this long non-coding RNA (226 nucleotides) under Homo sapiens (human). RNAcentral's name for it is "HSALNT0087415". The record is from RNAcentral. Lineage: Eukaryota; Metazoa; Chordata; Mammalia; Primates; Hominidae.
GAAUAUAUCAAACUUCAGCCUUCUUGCUGAGAGGAGCUGAAUGCUGCUUUAAUUUCCCAGCCGGGAGCUGGUAUUUCAGCAUGAACCAGGCAUAUUUAAUUGUUGUGUAAAUGUUAAGAUCACAAUGUAGGCCAUAUGGCAGUUUCUCUUUACAGAAGAAGAGAGACCUUCAAAUCAAACUGUUAAGUCUGAGAACCAUUUGAAGUCACAGUCAUUAAUUUGGAGA